GACCCGUAAUCCGGGUUGCGGACAGUGUCUGGUGGGUAGUUUGACUGGGGCGGUCUCCUCCUAAAGAGUAACGGAGGAGCACGAAGGUUGGCUAAUCCUGGUCGGACAUCAGGAGGUUAGUGCAAUGGCAUAAGCCAGCUUGACUGCGAGCGUGACGGCGCGAGCAGGUGCGAAAGCAGGUCAUAGUGAUCCGGUGGUUCUGAAUGGAAGGGCCAUCGCUCAACGGAUAAAAGGUACUCCGGGGAUAACAGGCUGAUACCGCCCAAGAGUUCAUAUCGACGGCGGUGUUUGGCACCUCGAUGUCGGCUCAUCACAUCCUGGGGCUGAAGUAGGUCCCAAGGGUAUGGCUGUUCGCCAUUUAAAGUGGUACGCGAGCUGGGUUUAGAACGUCGUGAGACAGUUCGGUCCCUAUCUGCCGUGGGCGCUGGAGAACUGAGGGGGGCUGCUCCUAGUACGAGAGGACCGGAGUGGACGCAUCACUGGUGUUCGGGUUGUCAUGCCAAUGGCACUGCCCGGUAGCUAAAUGCGGAAGAGAUAAGUGCUGAAAGCAUCUAAGCACGAAACUUGCC
This 569-nucleotide ribosomal RNA is filed under the name Escherichia coli. RNAcentral describes it as "bacterial LSU rRNA". It matches the Rfam family "Bacterial large subunit ribosomal RNA", at positions 2230 to 2798 of the family's 2925-position model. The record is from RNAcentral. RNAcentral also lists the same sequence under 1 other name. Lineage: Bacteria; Pseudomonadati; Pseudomonadota; Gammaproteobacteria; Enterobacterales; Enterobacteriaceae.